UAUCUCUGUAGAGUCUGCAUAUCAAUAAGCGGAGGAAAAGAAACUAACAAGGAUUCCCUUAGUAACGGCGAGUGAAGCGGGAAGAGCUCAAAUUUGAAAUCUUCAAGGUUUUACCUUGACGAAUUGUAGUUUAAAGAAGUGUUUUCUGUUGGAGUUUUGGUAAAAGUUCUUUGGAAUAGGACAUCAUAGAGGGUGAGAAUCCCGUAUUUGACCAUUUCUUCCAGCUGUGUGAUACACUUUCAAAGAGUCGGAUUGUUUGGGAAUGCAGUCCAAAAUGGGUGGUAAAUUUCAUCUAAAGCUAAAUAUUGGCGAGAGACCGAUAGCGAACAAGUACUCGUGAGGGAAAGAUGAAAAGAACUUUGAAAAGAGAGUUAAACAGUACGUGAAAUUGUCAAAAGGGAAGCGUUUGACACCAGUGUUGUUUUCUCGAAAAUCAAUUAAAAAUGGCUUGAUUUUGUGUUGUAUUGACCUUAAAAGCUUUCUGCACUUUUUUCAUGUCCUUUUUAAUGCACUUUUCGUUUAACAAGUCAACAUCAGUUUCUUUUGUUGUAAAAAGGUCAUUGGAAGGUGGCUUUCUUUUCGGAGAAAGUGUUUAUAGCCUUUGACUCCUGCAAUCGGAGAGACUGAGGUCUGCAGCGUAGAUCCUUCUUGGAUUAGAUUCAUUUGUGCUAAGUUAUAGCUUUUUAUAGACAACUUGUUGACUAUAUUUAGUCUUGUAGCUUACUCGCUUAUGCAAUUUUACCUACGCUUAGGAUGUUGAACGCGCACAGAGUCUC
This 776-nucleotide ribosomal RNA is filed under the name uncultured Neocallimastigales. RNAcentral's name for it is "partial large subunit ribosomal RNA". It matches the Rfam family "Eukaryotic large subunit ribosomal RNA", at positions 24 to 611 of the family's 3401-position model. The record is from RNAcentral. Lineage: Eukaryota; Fungi; Neocallimastigomycota; Neocallimastigomycetes; Neocallimastigales.